Molecule: unclassified non-coding RNA, 500 nt
Filed under: uncultured Glomus
Lineage: Eukaryota; Fungi; Glomeromycota; Glomeromycetes; Glomerales; Glomeraceae
Description: SSU rRNA
Rfam family: Eukaryotic small subunit ribosomal RNA
Source: RNAcentral
CCAAUAGCGUAUAUUAAAGUUGUUGCAGUUAAAAAGCUCGUAGUUGAAUUUCGGGACCAAUCUGCCGGUCGUGCCUCCGGUACGCACUGGUUUUAUUGGUUUCUCCCUUCUGACGAACCAUGAUGUCAUUAAUUUGGUGUCAUGGGGAAUCAGGACUGUUACUUUGAAAAAAUUAGAGUGUUUAUAGCAGGCUCACGCUUGAAUACAUUAGCAUGGAAUAAUGAAAUAGGACGUUUUACCCUAUUUUGUUGGUUUCUAGGAUCGACGUAAUGAUUAAUAGGGAUAGUUGGGGGCAUUAGUAUUCAAUUGUCAGAGGUGAAAUUCUUGGAUUUAUUGAAGACUAACUACUGCGAAAGCAUUUGCCAAGGAUGUUUUCAUUAAUCAAGAACGAAAGUUAGGGGAUCGAAGACGAUCAGAUACCGUCGUAGUCUUAACCAUAAACUAUGCCGACUAGGGAUCGGAUGAUGUUAAUUUUUUAAUGACUCAUUCGGCGCCUUACA